Molecule: long non-coding RNA, 9869 nt
Organism: Bombus huntii
Lineage: Eukaryota; Metazoa; Arthropoda; Insecta; Hymenoptera; Apidae
Exons: 5
Source: RefSeq, a predicted model, not a curated record
UAUUCUCUUCUCUGUACCUCUCUGUACAAAUGUAUUUUUUUAACGAGAGCUAUACAACUACUGCAUACCUCUGUUAGGUAAAAACGAGCCCAAGCCUACUGUCAUAAAUCUCGGGCAAACAUAAUCGGAUUAAAUCAUAAGCAACUGCUUCUAGGUUUUAUUAUUUAAGUACAGCUAUAAUAAAAAGCCCAGACUAAAGUAUUGGCGAUCUUCUCAAAAAUUCCAAAAGAUAGGUCCCAAUGUUCUUUCAUUUCCGACAUAUAAAUCUUUUUUUUUUAUUAUUUAGUUUUUACUUUACAAUUAGCUGAGUUAGAAGCUUAAUUGCAACAUUAACACGUGGAUGGCUACCCCCAGCGAGAUACCAUCCUCGAGUUUGUCUAUUUUAUUUCUUUAGCGAGGUCAGUAGGGUGUUUUCUCUUUAGUCUUCUUUUUAUCAGAGUGUUUUAUGUGUAUCAAAUAAGAAAGAAACGACGGACGGGAGACUAUCGUAUUAGGCGAAUAACGCGCCACGUAUCUUCUUGUAUUUUCCACUUGAAUUCGUAUCGCGUACGCGUAUCUUGGUGUCUAACUAGCCUAAAGCAAACCCUGGUGGGUAAACUAAAAGCUGGGAUGAUCCUGUCGGCGAGUGUUUGAAACUUCGCGUAAUGCGAUUAACGAGAGACGAGUUAUAUGUAUGCAACAACUUUCAGCGUUCUUGGAGAUUCAAUUAGCCAGGCUGGUUAUAGGCGCACGUGACGCACAUGGCGCACGUGCUGUGGCUGCGUAUCGAUCAACGCAUAUUCACAGAGCACGACAGAACCGCGACAGAUACGGUAGAAACACUCUGUACACCGUCUAUUUACGGAAUUGUCUACGCAGUGUUGGGCCACGCCGAGGACAACGCAAAUGGAUCGCGAUUCCGCUUCCAUUCUUAUCAACCGUACGCUAUACGCCUACUGGCUGUCUCAAAAACUUAGCGCCGAGCUUUAAGAUACAUUAUAUGAUACUAUGGAUGUAUUAUAUUAUACAGGGUGUCUCUAGUAACUGGGACAGGCUGUAAAACUUUGUUCCAAGUGAAGUUAAGGUAUAUUGUAUUAUAUUAUACAGGGUGCCUCUAGUAACUGGCAUAGGAUACAGAAUUCUGUUGCAAAUGAAAUGAAAAUGUAUUAUACUAUAGAUGUAUUAUAUUGUGUCAUAUAUAUUAUACUACGCUAUGGAUAUAUUAUACAAGAUAUAAUUCGUUAUAAAGGGUGUCUAUAAUAACUGGGACAGGCUAUAGGACUUUGUUGCAAGUGAAGCUAAGAUAUAUUAUACUAUAGAUAUAUUGUACUAUACAGGGUGUCUCUAGUAACUGGCACAGUUUAUAGAACUCUGUUACAAGUGAAGUUAAGAUAUAUUAUGACAUACUAUAGAUAUAUUUUAUUAUAUCAUGUAUAUCAUACUAUUUUAUAGAUAUAUUGUAUUAUACAGGGUGUCUCUAGUAACUGGCACAGGCUAUAAAACUUUGUUCCAAGCGAAGUUAAGAUAUAUUGCAUUACAUUAUACAGGGUGUUUCUAGUAACUGGUACAGGUUAUAGAACUCUGUUACAAGUGAAGUUAAGAUAUAUUAUAUCAUACUAUAGAUAUAUUCUAUUAUAUCAUGUAUAUCAUACUAUGUUAUAGAUAUAUUAUACAGGGUGUCUCUAGUAACUAGGACAGGCUAUAGAACUCCGUUGCAAGUGAAGUUAAGAUAUAUCGUAUUAUAUUAUAAGGGGUGUCUCUUCUAUCUGGGACAGGCUAUAUAGUUGGAAGCAAAGUUAGAGAAAAAUCGUAGAGGAAAACUUCCCACUGUUUAACGCGAUUUAUCGUAUUACCGUACUCGCGCGGAUGCAUCAGUACACUGCAGUUGCAGAGUGCAAAUACACUUUUUCAUUUAAACGAAACUAUAUAAUUCGCUUGUAAAGCAUUCCAUGUACUUUACCGUUCCAACGCGAUAUAAAAAUGUAUCAAGGUAAAUAGUUGGAAAAAGUAAUUACUUUGAAAGAUGUAAUUUUGUAAAACUUCGCGGAUGAGAAAGAAGGAGAAAAUCAACCUGCGAUACUUGUACCUCUGAUUCUUCUUCCUUCCAUGCGCUAAAUUUAGCGCUCUUAAAAUCGAAAUAACUUUUAAAGUGGUUUUGGCGUUUUUUGGCUCAAGUAACUUAAUAUCUUUCUGUAAACGAUAAAAACUUGCAUCGACUGCUUUAUACAUAAUUAUAAAGUUUCGUUUGAGAAAAGAAUACAGUUUCACCGGAGCAUCUGCGAGAAAAUUACUACGAUCGAGCCUGUUAAACAGUGAAAAUUUUUCCUUUUCUCUUUUCUUUGUUGCAUCCAUUAUAUUUCGUGUUUAACCGCGAUACAAGGAUCUUUGCGAUUAUUUUAUGUACAUCUACUCUUACAGUAUCUUUGAAUAAACUUAGAUGCUACUUAUCAUUUCCACGGCAAUCUCGUUUUCUUUCCGUUUUUCACGGCGCAGCAAAAUCGACGCAGCAGAACGCCGAUUUGCAAAAUUUUCCUCUACGAUCUUUCCCCAAUUUCACUUGCAACGGGGUCAUAGCCUGUCCCAGUUACUAGAAACGCUUUGUAUAGUACGUGAUAUAUAUCGUGCGUCUAAAUUCACGGUACGAGCGAAUCUCAGGCAGCUUGUCUGACUGAAAACGAUACGAGCUUCAAGAAUAACAAAACUACGCUUUAUUCUCGAGAGACUUCAGCUUGAAAACUCUUGUACCUAACUAAUUCUCGGUUAGAUAGGAAUGGAUAAUUCGUCGUUGCAGUUUUCCACUGUUCUACCUGCAUUAGUACGUAAACUGAGGAAAUCCAGUCCCGAUAGAAUAAAGUUUAUGAAGUCGAAUAUUAUCGCGUGGAGUUUGGACUUAAAACAACCGAACAUUUCUCGCUAUCCGAGCGUACAACUUCCACCGUAUUAUCACCAACGAGACGUACAUACGUGCGUCGAUUAAUAAUACUCUUUUCCUUAACCUUUCUGCCUCGAAUGCCGCUUAUAGGCGGCGCCCGCGAGAUGACCUGUGGCUACGAACGCCGCUUAUAGGCGGUGACCACGCGACGAAUUCUGAUUUCGGUACCCCAUAUAUCGGACAUACAUCAGUGCCAUCUGUAGUCAGUAAUAUAUUUUUUCGUUAUCGGCAGAACAUUUUCUGUUGAUUUUAUCGAUAUAUUGGAUUAAUCGCUUCUUAAAAGUUACUUAUUGUCGGAACAACAUCAAAACGUUUUACGCAAUAUAUUUCAAACAUCCAAACGAUCGUAUACUGUUUCGUGCUAAAAAAUCUGUUAAAUCCAUUGGCAGUGAAACGAUACUUCAUAUACGGUUCUUACAAGAAUUAUUGUUAUUUAAGACUUAGGAAAACGUAUAUACAACGACCACGCACACUGUGCGCAUUUCUGGCGCACGCUUCCGUUCAGUGACAGUACUUCGGCGAAUUGGACUGCCGAAGCGAAAGGGUUAAAAUAGUUGGAUCGGUUAAGAACUAUUAGGUUGGCAACUAAUUGAUUGCGGAUUUUAUCAUUAAGUGGUAUUGACAAAAUCCGUAAUUACAUAGUUGCCAACCCACUAUAUUUGCUCCUCUAUUUUUCAUUUCUUAUAAUCAACACAGCAGAGAACAAAUACGGAGAAUUGGAAAAUAAUCAGAUAUUUUGACACUUGCGAGUUAGGUGUGUCAAUACCACCUAGUGACAAAAUUCGCAAUCACAUAGUUGCCAACCCAAUAGAUCGACGAUGAAUUGGCAAUGGGAGGUCGCGCUACACGCGAAAGAAGGUAUGAAACGCGGAAUAAAAUUUGUUCUGACUGUCGAGAGAAACACAGCCAAUGGAUAAAAAUUAACAUCUUUCAUGGCAAAUGUUGAGACUGUCGGAUACUCUGCCGCUGUAUGCACGUACCUUCGUACGAGACUAGCCUCAGGGAAAAAAAGAGGAAAAGAAGGAACGAGAGGCGAACGAGGAAUAAGUGGAUCAACGGAAGAGCGACGGAUCGUGAGACAGAAUCGAAUAAUGGAGCGUGGAAGGUUGACAGAACGGUCGUUAAUCAAAGCGAUUAAUCGAAUGUCACGGAACACGUCCGUCGCUGAAUUCCACGGCUUAGAGAACGGUACUUGAACGGCCUGUACAUUGCACAAUACUUUCCAAUCUUCGGCCAUAAUGAGCCGCAACAACGCGCCACCUGCGAAAUGGGGCAUUUUAUCCGCGUUUCCUCUUCUCUUUUCUUUCUACAAGUGAAUCGUGACGGCAAUCCGGUGUCCUCUGUAUAUUCCUUUAGACUAUGGCCGCGUCUGCAUGACUCAAGGUUCAGCCUCGUAUCGAUUAAAAACCGAAGGAACGCACGUAAUUACGUUUGCACGCGAAAUCGAUCGAGCAUUUAUUCGAGUGUCUGCCGUGUUGUAAUAUUAAUCGAACACGUCCACGGUUCGCCAUUUUAUUCCCGCGAUCUCGUUCGAAACAAUCGCUUUGGAAAUGCAGAGGAAGACGAAUGAUUUUAUAUUGGCUUGGCAACUAAGUGAAUGCGGCUUUUUACAUUAGGUAGUAAUGACAAAAUCCGCAAUUACUUAAUUGCCAACCUAUUAUAUUUGCUCGUCUAUUUUUCAUUUUUUAUAAUCAACACACCAGAGAUAUUUUGACACUUAGGUUAGGUGUUUUUCGUCAGUUAAUCACUUAAUUGUCAAUAAGGAUUUGAAUACGCGGGUUCCAGUGUGCUUGAUAAAUUUUCAAACUCGAUUUUCUCGAGAGGUGAACCUUAAAUGAAACAAUUUUAUCGCAUAUUUUGCUGUUGUUCUUUAACGAAAUCAAGAAACAUAGAAAAGGUGGAGCGAAUCGGUCUGAUUUCUGAGAAGCUCCGUCAAUCUGCUAUCUGGUGAUAGCUUGGCCAUGAAAAAACGUAAUACACAUUACGAGGAGAAUCGUGAACAGAAUACAAGGCACACCUUGAUGCAACAUUUUUCACCAACACGGACUGUUAUGGAAAUCGUGGCACGAAGAUUUCAGCGAACUCGGCUCACCAUCAACGUCAUUCCAUUUCCUCCGUUUUCGUCGUUUCGUUUCGUUCGAACGUACUGUACUUUACAGCGUAUUGAUCUGGCAACUAAGUGAUUGCGGAUUUUGUCAAUACCAUCUAAUGACAAAAUCCGCAAUCACUUAGUUGCCAAGCCAAUGAAACACUCGCAGUUGAGCUGAAAAAUAAGCGAACAGAUAGCGGGGAAGCAGCUAUCGAUGAAAUUUAAUCUAAUUAGUAGUGUGGUUACACGACUACGUUUCAACUGCAUUUAUCGGAAAGAUACUUGGGUUAAUAGCCGAUCAAUUGAACUCGUUGUUGCUCGAAUUCUGUGAAUUCGAACGUGACCUGCAAUUGUACGAAAAAUAAUAAAUAGAUAAAUGGGAAAAAUUGGAAAGCUCCUAUUAUACGAACUCCAAUUAUACAGAGUGGUCCGUAAAUGGUGCUACAAUUGCAUUAUACAGGGUGACUGUAGGAGAAAAAAUUGCACGUAAACGUGGAAUGAAAUUCGUUGGGAGGAUAAUCGAGUUUGAGAAUUUGCCAAGUAUACUUAACGCUGGAACUAUCCGAUAGUUAACGCGAGGCUAUUUUUAUCAAAAACAGUCAAAAUGAUUGGUCUUUAAAAAGUACGUAAUGACAGAAUAUUUGUAUAUUUAUUGAUUUAGUACUUUCUUUCAGAAGAAAUUCCACGUUAUGUAGUACAUUUUUCGUAUUAUUAACGACGAUCUGUAAAAUGAUCCCUAAACGAGGGUCGACACAUUUACAAAAUUGUAGAACCAGUCGUUUUCACCGCUGUGAUAUUUCUAGCGUCAGCAUCUAGCGAUCUAGCGAUCGAUCCGCAAUUUUCCCGAUAACUGAUAUCGUCAUAUCGAACGAUACGCAGUACAAAUAUAAAAAACGUGUGGCAAGUUGUACAAAACGAGGAAACUGGUUAAUUGAGUUCGAUAAACGGAUUGCAGGACCCUUUUACACUUUGACAAGUACCAAUCAUUUUCACUGGUGUUGGUAUAAAUAGCCCUGAUACAAAAUUAUUUUCAGUUUGAAUACGUAAAAAAGAAAAUAAAAUUCAUUAUAUUAUUCUUUUAGUUAUCGUUGCGAAAAUAUAACACGAAGGAGGAAUUUUAAAAUAAAAUUGUAAAACCAGUCAAUUUGACUGUUGUGAUAGUUCUAACGUUAAACCCGGCUCAUUCCUAACCGAACGAGAGCGAAUAAUCGACAGGUGGUUGAGCUGCGCGUGAAAACAAGCGACAAAAGUAAAGUAACAUUCUUUCGUAAGAUAUCUGUUCUCUGAGCCAGAUAAAUUUGUAAAUAUCAUCUUCAUCUUCCUCAAAACGACGGCUUAAACGGACAAAUUUUAUUCUACAAUUUUUUUCACAAUUUCCAGUUAUCUUCGCACGUGUACAGGUCUCCAACCGAUUGCUUGCUCGCACCUAGUCAACUAGUUCGACCACGAUUGGUUCCAUUAUACUUGGACUAUUUUUCUUAUCUUUUUCUUUCUAUUUGGUACAAUUUUUACAAUCAAUUCUCAUUGAGAAUUAUAAGUAAAUUAUUUUGACGUGGUACUGUAACUUGGAUUGUAAGUGCUUAUAGUAUGUUUGAUUCUAGUUGGACUAUUGGAACUCGAUUUUACGGACCACCCUGUAUAAAGUGUUUGACCUGCGACAAGUUCAGACGAACGGAGUUCCACUGUACUCGAUUGGCCUCGCCUAGAUUUAUUAAAAUAUCGAGAAACGUUGAUGCGGAGGAUCCAACGGCAGAGAUCCAGCGAUCACGCGGAUCCACAUUCGGCUUUCGCCUGUCGGAAGUUCGGUUAGGCGAUGAUUCUCGAGCGAUCGAUCUUCCGAUUGCUAAAGGAAUCUCGUUGUAGAGAAAAAUAGGUCGAGCGCGUUCAAAGCCUUCUUCUUGCUUUUUUCAAUUCGAUUCGCGUCGAUUCUACUUGCAGCGAACGUAAUCCAGCGACGAUUCGAUGCUACUCACGUUCAAGUCAGAGCCACUGACCUAUUGUCAAGGUUGCAAUGGUCGUGCUAAUUGAAAGUUCGUUACACGAUGUUGAAUCGGCGCCACGUCGAAUCCCUCGGGCCAUCAGUUUACCGAAAAUUAAGGAAAACUGGCAACGUUCGCGGAUAGACGUGGCCCUGUUCCUUAAGUGGAAAGUUAAUUUUCCAGGAAAUGGAUGAAUCUCGAGGGGAAGGUUUCGCGUUACGGAACUGGCAGGAUAAAAUGGUAGAUCGUUAGUUGUGCAAUGAUUCGACGAAAUUAUCAAAAUUGAACACGUAAUUUGUGUAUCUGUGUAUUUCCUAUUUGAAUGUUCGUAUUUCCAUAUUUUCUAUGUUUCUUGUAUCUUCUAUAUCUUUUUACAUUUUCUAUAGCUGUUGUUCUAUCGUACGCUCUAUGUGUACGUAUUUCUUUCUAAGGAAGCUUUAAAUUUCAUACUUAAAAAAGUAAGAAAACUCUUUUUUUUUUUUUAUUUGGUAGACUAUUUACAAUCAAUUCUCAUUGAGAAUUAUAAGUAAAUUUUGUAUUAUAAGAAUUAUAAGUAUUUUGGCGUGGUACUGUAACUUGGAUUAUAAGAGUUUAUAGUAUGUUUGAUUCUAGCUGAAUCCAAUGCUUCGAUCUAAAGGGUAUUGUCCUUUUAGUCUGCGGAUCUGAUCCGUCGUGUCAAGUAAUUGGGUAACUAAUGGGCUUUGGUGGUUGUUAAUUCUUAUGUUAUAUCUUGUUGAGAAUUUUGCAUCUUAAUUACCGAAAUAACGGUAUAGGAACACUAAAUCUACACUUAGAAUUUAUAUUAGAACAGUUAUAUAUUUACUUGAUCAACGAUUCCAAAGAUAUUCAUCGAUACUCACUUGCACGCGUCUCACCUUCUUCCAUACCACACUGUUAACGAACAGUUUACAUUCCUCUGUUUUCGAGACGCCGCGCACACACAUACUUCCACACACUCGUAUUCACGUACGUGUAUCACCACUACGCGGUCAAUCUAGUCUAGCACAUAAAAUUACGCGUAUCUCAACAUAUCUAUUACCGAAUUUGGAUAUUUCUUCUUUAACCGUGGGUAUCUUAAGGUCGCGAUGUAUCGUUUCGUUGGUAACACACCAAGGUGCGUCUACCAAGGAUCUUAGAGUUCUCGAUUGGAAUCGUUGAAAAAUUUCUAUGCUGGAAUUACUCGCUGUUCCCCAUAGUCGGGUCCCAUAGGUCCAAACAGGUCUUAACACAACCUUAUAUAACAUUAUUUUACUCCGCACGUUUAAGUUGCUGCGUCUGCCAAUGAGCCAGUAGAAGUUUUUUAGUUUCGAUUUCAAUUGUUUGGAUCUAUCUAGGAUGGAAUCUCAGUUGACUACGAAUUUGUAGCACGUUCGAACGAGUGAUUCGACUGGCAAUCUUCGCUCUUCGCUCGUUAUUUAUAUUUUUAACUGGAAAUUCUCAGUUCGAAGUUGCAUAUAUCUAGAGAUGUAGCGUGCUAUCGUGGACGGAUUACCUGACAGAUAUCUGGUAUGUGUUGUCGACGUUGUCAUUUGUUAUUAUAUUAACAUAUCGUAGUAUCAUGGGCGAGGAGCCUGGGGGAUUAUAAACAAGCGGUUGCUGAGCAUGUACGUAGCGAGGCUAAGACAAAGGACAAGGGGUUGCUAGGGGACAAUAAACGAAUCAACAGCAGUACGAGAUGAGAAGCCAGAGAGUGCUGAUCGCGUUGUCGAGAUAGCGUUGUUAGCGUUGUCGAGAGAGAGUCGAAUCAGCGUUGACGAGACUUGUCAAUUAAUUAUCUACUUGUCUUAAUUAUAAUACGUUGUUACGAUUAGUUCACGUUAAUGAUCAUUGUUUUCUGUUUAAUUAACAUCCGUUUAAUCCAUUUAUCGUUAAUAAACUAAUCAUAACAACGUAAUAAGCAUGGUCUUCUGUUUAAUUAACAUCCGUUUAAUCCAUUUAUCAUUAAUAAACUAAUCAUAAUUAGUCACGAUACUACAGUAUAUUUAUAUAAUGAUUUUGUGAUCAGGUGGUAAUGACAAAACGCGCGAUCGUUUAAUUGCCAAGCCAAUACUUUAUUCUCCUCUGCUACUUUUCGUUAUCGUCUUUCAGCUAUCUCCGCAGCUGAGAUCAUUCGCGACGUUGGAGCACCUUCGUGGCCCUGACCUAAUCUUCUCUCUUCGCUUGGAAAAUAUCCGAAACGUAGCUACGCAGGAGCCUUAGGACUUGUUACGCGUCAUUCCUCUGAUUCCAGCCAGCCUUGGUCAAUUAACACGCGUCAUUCCUCCGAUUCCAGCCAGCCUUCGGCAAUUAACACGCGUCUCUCAUCUCCGGUCUCAUCCGAUCAAACACACGCUGCUUCUCGAAACAAUUCAACAUAGAUUUUCUGUGUUUCGUAUGCAUCGUGUGGUUUGCACCGCGCUACGAGCACAACGUGUCAUGAUUAUUCACCGGUAAUGGCCUUACUCGAUCUAAGGUCCCUCGAGGAACGUACGCUCGUCGCUGAUUUUUCUUCGCUGCACGAAACAAUCGCUGACCUUACGAGCGGUCCGCGUAUUUUUUCAUCCAUCGACAUUUAUGCGCUUAGACUUCUCGCUGGUCUUUAGGCGAACCGUUACUCUUCCAGUUUCACGAUUGCGAGCCAAAAUAUUUCCAUCUAGAUACCCUAAAUCGUGUUUGCUCUGUAGCUGACAGUUUUUCUGGCCGCAUAAAUCUUUUCUCCAGUUCAGUGAGACCCGUCGUUCCAGCGAGUCAUCUACGAGACGUUAUCUCUGUCUUGAAUUUACUGCGAACUAACUGUGCUUUUCAUAUUCCACAUUUUGCAAAAAUUUCUUUUCUUUUCCGUUUCUUUUCUAAGUGUCCGUCUUAACUGUCUGUCGUUGUAAAAUACUUAAUGCACGCUGAUGGGAUGGGU